This 253-nucleotide ribosomal RNA is filed under the name uncultured bacterium. Its description in RNAcentral is "partial 16S ribosomal RNA". It matches the Rfam family "Bacterial small subunit ribosomal RNA", at positions 524 to 776 of the family's 1533-position model. The record is from RNAcentral.
UACGGAGGGGGCUAGCGUUGUUCGGAAUUACUGGGCGUAAAGCGCGCGUAGGCGGCUUUGUAAGUUAGAGGUGAAAGCCCGAAGCUCAACUUCGGAAUUGCCUUUAAGACUGCAUCGCUAGAAUUGUGGAGAGGUAAGUGGAAUUCCGAGUGUAGAGGUGAAAUUCGUAGAUAUUCGGAAGAACACCAGUGGCGAAGGCGACUUACUGGACACAUAUUGACGCUGAGGGGCGAAAGCGUGGGGAGCAAACAGG